Molecule: long non-coding RNA, 295 nt
Filed under: Elaeis guineensis (African oil palm)
Lineage: Eukaryota; Viridiplantae; Streptophyta; Magnoliopsida; Arecales; Arecaceae
Description: long non-coding RNA (EGUI_LNC018283)
Source: RNAcentral
GAUUGUUGUCGGAUAAAGAGAAAAGCAUAUGUUUCUAUUGAUGCAAUAGAUAUUGGUACCGAGUGAAUAUUGGAUCCCGUUUAGAGUUGGAUCAAAUCAAAAGGAGAAAGAAAAGCAAUAAAAAGUUGAUUGGCAAACGUCGUUUUUUUGCUGGAGUUAAGGAUUAAACAAAUUUAUUUUCUUUCCUCUAAACAGAUCAAGUGCCAGAAUAGAGAAUUGGCUAAGUAUGGCAUGUUUUGCAUCUUAUCUUUAGGAUUUGAGGUCCUACAUCCAAAAAAAAUAUGUGACAAAAUCU